This 254-nucleotide ribosomal RNA is filed under the name uncultured bacterium. RNAcentral describes it as "partial 16S ribosomal RNA". It matches the Rfam family "Bacterial small subunit ribosomal RNA", at positions 524 to 776 of the family's 1533-position model. The record is from RNAcentral.
GACGUAGGGCGCGAGCGUUGUCCGGAUUUAUUGGGCGUAAAGAGCUCGUAGGCGGCUUGUCGCGUCGACUGUGAAAACCCGCGGCUCAACCGUGUGGUCUGCAGUCGAUACGGGCAGGCUAGAGUUCGGUAGGGGAGACUGGAAUUCCUGGUGUAGCGGUGAAAUGCGCAGAUAUCAGGAGGAACACCGGUGGCGAAGGCGGCUUCCUGGACCGACACUGACGCUGAGGCGCGAAAGCUAGGGGAGCAAACGGG